CAGUAGCCGCGGGAAUACGAAGGGUGCAAGCGUUAAUCGGAAUUACUGGGCGUAAAGCGCACGUAGGCGGCUUUGUAAGUUAGAGGUGAAAGCCCGGAGCUCAACUCCGGAAUUGCCUUUAAGACUGCGGAGCUAGCAGGUGAGAGAGGUGAGUGGAAUUCCGAGUGUAGAGGUGAAAUUCGUAGAUAUUCGGAAGAACACCAGUGGCGAAGGCGGCUCACUGGCUCAUACUGGACGCUGAGGUGUGAAAGCGUGGGGAGCAAACAGGAUUAGAUACCCCUGUAGUCCCUGUCUCUUAUAC
RNAcentral lists this ribosomal RNA (301 nucleotides) under uncultured bacterium. RNAcentral describes it as "partial 16S ribosomal RNA". It matches the Rfam family "Bacterial small subunit ribosomal RNA", at positions 509 to 807 of the family's 1533-position model. The record is from RNAcentral.